Molecule: ribosomal RNA, 371 nt
Filed under: uncultured organism
Description: partial 16S ribosomal RNA
Rfam family: Bacterial small subunit ribosomal RNA
Source: RNAcentral
GUAGGUGGCAAGCGUUGUCCGGAAUUAUUGGGCGUAAAGCGCGCGCAGGCGGUUCUUUAAGUCUGAUGUGAAAGCCCACGGCUCAACCGUGGAGGGUCAUUGGAAACUGGAGAACUUGAGUACAGAAGAGGUAAGCGGAAUUCCACGUGUAGCGGUGAGAUGCGUAGAGAUGUGGAGGAACACCAGUGGCGAAGGCGGCUUUCUGGUCUGUAACUGACGCUGAGGCGCGAAAGCGUGGGGGAGCAAACAGGAUUAGAUACCCUGGUAGUCCACGCCGUAAACGAUGAGUGCUAAGUGUUAGGGGGUUUCCGCCCCUUAGUGCUGCAGCUAACGCAUUAAGCACUCCGCCUGGGAGUACGGCCGCAAGGCUG